GAUGAACGCUGGCGGCGUGCCUAAUACAUGCAAGUCGAGCGAACGGACGAGAAGCUUGCUUCUCUGAUGUUAGCGGCGGACGGGUGAGUAACACGUGGAUAACCUAUCUAUAAGACUGGGAUAACUUCGGGAAACCGGAGCUAAUACCGGAUAAUAUUUUGAACCGCAUGGUUCAAAAGUGAAAGACGGUCUUGCUGUCACUUAUAGAUGUAUCCGCGCUGCAUUAGCUAGUUGGUAAGGUAACGGCUUACCAAGGCAACGAUGCAUAGCCGACCUGAGAGUCUGAUCAGCCACACUGGAACUGAGACACGGUCCAGACUCCUACGGGAGGCAGUCGUAGCGAAUCUUACGCAAUGCGCGAAAGCCUGCCGGAGCCACGCCACGUGAGUAAUGACGGCCUUCGGUUCGUAACCCUCUGUUAUUAGCGUCGCCCAUAUGUCUCAGUAACUCUGCUCUUCUUGACCGUACCUAAUCAGCAAGCCCCGGCUAACUCCGUG
This 497-nucleotide ribosomal RNA is filed under the name uncultured bacterium. RNAcentral's name for it is "partial 16S ribosomal RNA". It matches the Rfam family "Bacterial small subunit ribosomal RNA", at positions 28 to 507 of the family's 1533-position model. The record is from RNAcentral.